This 301-nucleotide ribosomal RNA is filed under the name uncultured bacterium. Its description in RNAcentral is "partial 16S ribosomal RNA". It matches the Rfam family "Bacterial small subunit ribosomal RNA", at positions 509 to 807 of the family's 1533-position model. The record is from RNAcentral.
CAGUCGCCGCGGGAACACGGAGGGUGCAAGCGUUAAUCGGAAUUACUGGGCGUAAAGCGUGCGUAGGCGGUUCGUUAAGUCUGUUGUGAAAGCCCCGGGCUCAACCUGGGAAUGGCAAUGGAUACUGGCGAGCUAGAGUGUGUCAGAGGAUGGUGGAAUUCCCGGUGUAGCGGUGAAAUGCGUAGAGGUCGGGAGGAACAUCAGUGGCGAAGGCGGCCAUCUGGGACAACACUGACGCUGAGGCACGAAAGCGUGGGGAGCAAACAGGAUUAGAUACCCCUGUAGUCCCUGUCUCUUAUAC